AUGGACAAAAACAGAAAAAAUGAUGUCACAAUAUUUUUUAUUAUUUUUCAGUCUUUGAGCGAUUGCAGUAUGACUCCAUUUCCCUGGUGCAUUCAUAUAAUAGUUCACUUGGUGAAAAUAAUGAAGACUAUUUACAAUGCUACCCUGCUUUUUCUGAUGUCCUACACCUGGAAGUUGUGCUUUUUAAGACACUCUAAAUGUCAAAUCCUGAACCACUAGGAGCCUCGGCAAGUUGUCCCCUGUUGCCUUUUUUUCCAGUCCAGCCAUGUGAACACAACGAUCUGGAUUUCGGUAUGUACAGGCAGCCUGUCUCUGCCACCUGCCCAUUUGCCCACUCUCACUCACACAGGUAGGCACCCAGA
RNAcentral lists this long non-coding RNA (362 nucleotides) under Piliocolobus tephrosceles (Ugandan red Colobus). RNAcentral's name for it is "lncRNA (ENSPTEG00000015123.1)". The record is from RNAcentral. Lineage: Eukaryota; Metazoa; Chordata; Mammalia; Primates; Cercopithecidae.